This 279-nucleotide ribosomal RNA is filed under the name uncultured bacterium. RNAcentral's name for it is "partial 16S ribosomal RNA". It matches the Rfam family "Bacterial small subunit ribosomal RNA", at positions 506 to 784 of the family's 1533-position model. The record is from RNAcentral.
UGCCAGCAGCCGCGGUAAUACGAAGGGGGCGAGCGUUGUUCGGAAUUACUGGGCGUAAAGGGAGCGCAGGCGGUUCAUUUAGUUAGGCGUGAAAGCCCCGGGCUCAACCUGGGAACUGCGCUUAAUACUGAUGAACUAGAAAACAGAAGAGGGUAGUGGAAUUCCCAGUGUAGAGGUGAAAUUCGUAGAUAUUGGGAAGAACACCGGUGGCGAAAGCGGCUACCUGGUCUGAUUUUGACGCUGAGGCUCGAAAGCGUGGGGAGCAAACAGGAUUAGAUA